RNAcentral lists this ribosomal RNA (389 nucleotides) under uncultured bacterium. Its description in RNAcentral is "bacterial SSU rRNA". It matches the Rfam family "Bacterial small subunit ribosomal RNA", at positions 28 to 418 of the family's 1533-position model. The record is from RNAcentral.
GACGAACGCUGGCGGCGUGCUUAACACAUGCAAGUCGAGCGGUAAGGCCCUUUCGGGGGUACACGAGCGGCGAACGGGUGAGUAACACGUGGGUGACCUGCCUUUAGCUCUGGGAUAAGCCUGGGAAACCGGGUCUAAUACCGGAUAUGACUCCGCGGCGCAUGUUGUGGGGUGGAAAGCCUUGUGCGGCUGGAGAUGGGCCCGCGGCCUAUCAGCUUGUUGGUGGGGUNAUGGCCUACCAAGGCGACGACGGGUAGCCGGCCUGAGAGGGCGACCGGCCACACUGGGACUGAGACACGGCCCAGACUCCUACGGGAGGCAGCAGUGGGGAAUCUUGCGCAAUGGGCGAAAGCCUGACGCAGCGACGCCGCGUGAGGGAUGACGGCCUC